UUCUUAAAAUGAUGAUUUAAGUAUAAUGCAUAGUUCAGCUGACUUAUUGAUUGAAGAGAAGAACUUAAAUAUAUAGUCUUUCACCCCUAUCUGACUUAAAAA
The sequence is a small nucleolar RNA, 102 nucleotides long. It matches the Rfam family "Small nucleolar RNA snR60/Z15/Z230/Z193/J17". Rfam says of the family: The members of this family belong to the C/D class of snoRNAs which contain the C (UGAUGA) and D (CUGA) box motifs. Most of the members of the box C/D family function in directing site-specific 2'-O-methylation of substrate RNAs.